Molecule: non-coding RNA, 2013 nt
Organism: Microcebus murinus (gray mouse lemur)
Lineage: Eukaryota; Metazoa; Chordata; Mammalia; Primates; Cheirogaleidae
Source: RefSeq, a predicted model, not a curated record
UACAUCUGGUGCAAAUGCACUCGGAGCCUGGGGCCAGACCGGUGCUAACACUGCAAACUUUGUCCAGAGCUCUCUCCAAUCUGAAGGUUUGUUGGGGGCGCAAUGUCACCUUCAUAUGCUGAGCCCUUUCGAAAAAGUGCCAGAUCGUGUCACUGGUGCUAUUUUUCAUGCUCUGGUACAAUGUGUAGCACCACGGGGGUCUCAGCUUUACCAAAAUCAAAAUCCUAAGUGUCAGCUAAUUGCAGGGGCAUUCGGUUUUGGCUCUUCUCCCACAGGAUUUGUUGGCCAUUCAUUUGCAGGCCUCUUCUCCCAGCCCCAAAUCCUCGGGCAGGCUGUCUGCUUAGUGAGCCCUUCUUCACAAAGCCACACACUCAGGUGCCUCUGUGAGCUGUCUUAGAUUUUACCGCCAGCCCUUCAGGACUUCGAGCCAGGAAGGACCUCUCCACACCUCUGGCUCGUGACUCUUUUCUUUUCUCAUUCUCUUCCUCUGCUCUCCUCCUUCUUCUAUUUCUGGCUCAUUCCAUUUCUUUUUUGUUACUUUCCUUUUUCCCUUCCCACCAUCUCUGUUGACUUUCUUCUAUACUCCUCUGUGCAUCCCUCCUUCAGUCUCGGUCUUUUUAUUCCCUUUCCCCCUCCUUUCCCGUCCUUUCGCCACUCUGCACAUCUCUGAUCCUCUCCUCCCUGGCACCCCAUUCCUUUAUUUUUCUGUCCUAUAAAGGGCUCAUGGGCGAUUCAGACAGCAAGUCCACGCAUUGGACUAGUGACACAAGUACUUUGGGUCGCCGAUUCACCUACUCAGCCCAGAAGGCGAAGCUGAGUGAGGCCCUGACCUGGCGCCAGCUCCGGCCUACGUCCUGGAGCCAGCCUGCACCGCUGCCCGGCAGCGACGAUGCACGUGCUGUGGGCCCUGCCAGCGCCUAGGUGCCUCCGCCUGACCGCUGCUGCUAAGGGAGCCCACUCCCAACACCUUCCCGUGGCUCUGAGGACAUUUCCUUUUGAUAAAUGCAGACUCUGGCCCCAACAAUUACUCUGACAGCAAACCUCUUCCUGCUCAUUGAAGCCAUGCCAUCGCCUUGGUUUGGAGAGAGACAUUUUUUCCCCAUUCAUAAGGUUUCUUUUUCCCAUUUUCAUGUGAAGCCCCCUCUGCUUUUCAAGCUGGUGAUUGCUCUGGUGAGAUUGAAUGGACUCGCUGGUGAAAUGACAUCUCUUCUUUCCUGUCUUGGUCCUGCCUAAAUUCUUACAAAAUAUUUAAGCCAAGGACUCAGGCUAGCUCCUAAGUUUAUCAUAUUAAUUUGUCACUACUAGGGGGGAAAAAAAAAAAGGAUCAAUUCCCUUUAAGCAUAUGGAGUACCUCUUGUGCCAACUGAUUUGCCAGGGUACUCCCUACAGAAUUCUGUGGCUAUACAUUUUACUUAUGCGUAUGUAUGGUAUAUAUGGUAUGCAUAUCAUGUAUACACAUAUGACAUUAGGUAUGAAUGAAUGUGGUUGGAAACCCACACACACACUCCAGUCUGUAAAUAUCCUUCCUCACUGAAACCUGUGCUUCAGAAAUCAUUUCUUGUACAGCUGUGCAGUUUCUUGUAGCAGCUAAGGACAAAGCUAAGACAGAGGGACAAUUUAGACAAAGAUCAUCUAAAAGAGUAUAGUGUCUCCCUAGCAACUCAUGAGGACAGACAACCAAGUGGCAAGGUUGACUCCCAAUGGAAUGGCAAGCUUUUCUUCUCUCCUUUUUGAAUUUGUGUUUCCUAAGUGUGUCUUAACUUCUGAGUGCACCAGGCUAUACCCAUUAGAUCCUUUCAAUAUGACAAUUUUGUGCUUCUCUGACAGGAUGUUUCUCCAUGGAGCUGUAGUGCAGGAUGGGAGGGAGUGGGGGAAUAUUCCUUGCCUGGGCUGGAGUUUACAGAGACACUGCACAGCUUACACUCCUGUUAAGUGUAAAUAUUCAACACUUCCAUUCCAUUUGUGUAAAAAAUAAAGCACACACGAUUAUAAAAUUAAGAUGUAUAUUUCAUA